UUUCCGUAGGUGAACCUGCGGAAGGAUCAUUACUGAAGAUUUGGUCGCAAGACCGCUCUUCCACCCUUUGCUUACUAUACCAUGUUGCUUUGGCGAGCCGUCUUUAGGCCACCGGCUUCGGCUGGUGCGUGCUCGCCAGAGACCUCAAACAACCUGAUUUUUGUGUUUGUCUGAACAACUUUUAAAUUAUUAAAACCUUCAACAAUGGAUCUCUUGGCUCUGGCAUCGAUGAAGAACGCAGC
Molecule: unclassified non-coding RNA, 242 nt
Filed under: uncultured fungus
Lineage: Eukaryota; Fungi
Description: sequence contains ITS1, 5.8S rRNA gene
Rfam family: 5.8S ribosomal RNA (bases 194-242)
Source: RNAcentral